RNAcentral lists this ribosomal RNA (1966 nucleotides) under Streptococcus pneumoniae. RNAcentral's name for it is "partial 23S ribosomal RNA". It matches the Rfam family "Bacterial large subunit ribosomal RNA", at positions 1 to 1990 of the family's 2925-position model. The record is from RNAcentral. Lineage: Bacteria; Bacillati; Bacillota; Bacilli; Lactobacillales; Streptococcaceae.
GGUUAAGUUAAUAAGGGCGCACGGUGGAUGCCUUGGCACUAGGAGCCGACGAAGGACGUGACAAACGACGAUAUGCCUUGGGUAGCUGUAAGUAAGCGAUGAUCCAGGGAUUUCCGAAUGGGGGAACCCAACAGGUAGUACCUGUUACCCACAUCUGUUAAGGAUGUGAGGAGGAAGACGCAGUGAACUGAAACAUCUAAGUAGCUGCAGGAAGAGAAAGCAAAAGCGAUUGCCUUAGUAGCGGCGAGCGAAACGGCAGAAGGGCAAACCGAAGAGUUUACUCUUCGGGGUUGUAGGACUGCAAUGUGGACUCAAAGAUUAUAGAAGAAUGAUUUGGGAAGAUCAGCCAAAGAGAGUAAUAGCCUCGUAUUUAAAAUAGUCUUUGUAGCUAGCAGUAUCCUGAGUACGGCGGGACACGUGAAAUCCCGUCGGAAUCUGGGAGGACCAUCUCCCAACCCUAAAUACUCCCUAGUGACCGAUAGUGAACCAGUACCGUGAGGGAAAGGUGAAAAGCACCCCGGGAGGGGAGUGAAAUAGAACCUGAAACCGUGUGCCUACAACAAGUUCGAGCCCGUUAAUGGGUGAGAGCGUGCCUUUUGUAGAAUGAACCGGCGAGUUACGUUAUGAUGCGAGGUUAAGUUGAAGAGACGGAGCCGUAGGGAAACCGAGUCUGAAUAGGGCGCCUUAGUAUCAUGACGUAGACCCGAAACCAUGUGACCUACCCAUGAGCAGGUUGAAGGUGCGGUAAGACGCACUGGAGGACCGAACCAGGGCACGUUGAAAAGUGCUUGGAUGACUUGUGGGUAGCGGAGAAAUUCCAAACGAACUUGGAGAUAGCUGGUUCUCUCCGAAAUAGCUUUAGGGCUAGCGUCGACAUUAGAGAUUCUUGGAGGUAGAGCACUGUUUGGGUGAGGGGUCCAUCCCGGAUUACCAAUCUCAGAUAAACUCCGAAUGCCAAUGAAUUAUGGUCGGCAGUCAGACUGCGAGUGCUAAGAUCCGUAGUCGAAAGGGAAACAGCCCAGACCACCAGCUAAGGUCCCAAAAUAAUUGUUAAGUGGAAAAGGAUGUGGGGUUGCACAGACAACUAGGAUGUUAGCUUAGAAGCAGCUAUUCAUUCAAAGAGUGCGUAAUAGCUCACUAGUCGAGUGACCCUGCGCCGAAAAUGUACCGGGGCUAAAACAAUUUACCGAAGCUGUGGAUACCUUUAUAGGUAUGGUAGGAGAGCGUUCUAUGUGUGAUGAAGGUAUACCGUGAGGAGUGCUGGAACGCAUAGAAGUGAGAAUGCCGGUAUGAGUAGCGAAAGACAGGUGAGAAUCCUGUCCACCGUAAGACUAAGGUUUCCAGGGGAAGGCUCGUCCGCCCUGGGUUAGUCGGGACCUAAGGAGAGACCGAAAGGUGUAUCCGAUGGACAACAGGUUGAUAUUCCUGUACUAGAGUAUGUAGUGAUGGAGGGACGCAGUAGGCUAACUAAAGCAGACGAUUGGAAGAGUCUGUCUAAGCAGUGAGGUGUGAAUUGAGUCAAAUGCUUAAUUCUAUAACAUUGAGCUGUGAUGGGGAGCGAAGUUUAGUAGCGAAGUUAGUGACGUCACACUGCCAAGAAAAGCUUCUAGCGUUUAAACAUACUCUACCCGUACCGCAAACCGACACAGGUAGUCGAGGCGAGUAGCCUCAGGUGAGCGAGAGAACUCUCGUUAAGGAACUCGGCAAAAUGACCCCGUAACUUCGGGAGAAGGGGUGCUGACUUUAAGUCAGCCGCAGUGAAUAGGCCCAAGCAACUGUUUAUCAAAAACACAGCUCUCUGCUAAAUCGUAAGAUGAUGUAUAGGGGGUGACGCCUGCCCGGUGCUGGAAGGUUAAGAGGAGUGCUUAGCGUAAGCGAAGGUAUGAAUUGAAGCCCCAGUAAACGGCGGCCGUAACUAUAACGGUCCUAAGGUAGCGAAAUUCCUUGUCGGGUAAGUUCCGACCCG